CAGGCGGCCGCGGCGCGACCCCAGCCGGUGCCGGGACAGCCCCGCAGCCUGGGCCGCCGCUCCCCCUCCCCGGAGCCCGGAAUGGAUCCGUCCCGGAAAUAAAUAAAUAAACCCGCGGCUGCUCCGGGUGUGUGCUGCGCGCACCUGAGGCCGACCUGUGAUUCACCGCGGGAGGGAUGGCAGUGACAACGCUCCGGGGAAGUCCACAGUGACUCCUCCGCCAGGACGCCGCUGGUUGUAUAGGAAAAGCACGCGGACGGGAAGCCACACUCACCGAAAACCUCAGUAAACUAAAUUUAUGAGUUUACAUCUGUUCCAUCAAUGACCACGGUGCACACCUGUUUGGCUUCAUGGCCGGCAACUACAGAUCUAGGUAUCCAAGAUCAAGAGGGACAAUUACAUAUUAUAAGCCGCACAGAGAAGAGUAAUCAAGGUGGACAUGAACUUGUGCUAUAUAAGUUAUGGGUUGAAGAACUCUGUGGAAAGUAGAGAAGAAAAAAUUUAGGGAACAAGCAGUAGUUGAAUACAGCUAUGUGAAACUAUGAGAACUAUGUGAAAGAGUGUUUGGAUCCAAAGAUGAAAGAGCUGACACAAGAGUGGAUUUUCUGAGAGCUGUUUGAGCAGAGAAAACUUGAAGGAGAUACAGUGAGUAGAACACAACCUGUAGGUGGUUUGAAGACCUGAGGACUCCAAUACCUCCCAACUCUCAUAUUCUCUAUAGUUUUUCUAGAAAAGCCCAUGUAUUGGGGCAUAACCUAUAAAGAUGAUAGCAACUAAAAUGGAUAAAUCAAUGACAUAAAAUGUUUAUUUCUUCUCUUGAUUAAAUGACAGAUACCCCAAUCUGCAGGCAUCAUAUGUUAUGACUGCCUCCACUCUCUGCAUUUUGAGAAAGCCUCUACAGAAAUUCUCAAAGGAAUGGGUAAAGACAUGAGUAUUUUUAACUACAUAUACUUUAAAUUUAUUUUUUUUUUUUGCAUUUAAAAGGCUUGAGAGGAUUUGGGUUGUAUCCAAACUGAAAAAAUAAAAAUAGGUUAAGUACAUGAGGAACCAGAAUGAAUUAAUAUAGUGAGCGAAAGUGGAUUGUACAUUCCCACACUCAUGAAGAUAAGAGUACAGAUGACACUGAAGUGUGAGUUGUCUUCUAACCUGUUUGACUUGAUUUGGUUACAUAUGAUUCAGAAGGCAGAGCAGUCGGUAAACACAAGAAUUAAAAUUGUCAAAACUACUGACAUUUUCCUACAAAAUAAUUAUAUGGGCAGAAACUAUAGUUGCGACUGCAGUAAAAC
Molecule: long non-coding RNA, 1286 nt
Filed under: Homo sapiens (human)
Lineage: Eukaryota; Metazoa; Chordata; Mammalia; Primates; Hominidae
Description: HSALNT0088876
Source: RNAcentral